AGUUCCAUAGUUUAAGCUAAAAUGUUAGACUGCAAUUCUGAAGAUACGAUGUGUUGGAGCUU
RNAcentral lists this transfer RNA (62 nucleotides) under Taku spinosocarinatus. RNAcentral describes it as "tRNA-Cys". It matches the Rfam family "tRNA". Rfam says of the family: Transfer RNA (tRNA) molecules are approximately 80 nucleotides in length. Their secondary structure includes four short double-helical elements and three loops (D, anti-codon, and T loops). Further hydrogen bonds mediate the characteristic L-shaped molecular structure. tRNAs have two regions of fundamental functional importance: the anti-codon, which is responsible for specific mRNA codon recognition, and the 3' end, to which the tRNAs corresponding amino acid is attached (by aminoacyl-tRNA synthetases). tRNAs cope with the degeneracy of the genetic code in two manners: having more than one tRNA (with a specific anti-codon) for a particular amino acid; and 'wobble' base-pairing, i.e. permitting non-standard base-pairing at the 3rd anti-codon position. The record is from RNAcentral. Lineage: Eukaryota; Metazoa; Arthropoda; Malacostraca; Stomatopoda; Takuidae.